GACUUCGGGGCCAAGAUGGCGACGGGAACGGGCAAACACAAGCUGCUAAGUACUGGCCCCACAGAGCCAUGGUCCAUCCGAGAGAAGCUAUGUUUAGCAUCUUCUGUCAUGAGAAGUGGAGAUCAAAAUUGGGUAUCAGUUAGCAGAGCAAUCAAGCCCUUUGCAGAACCUGGCCGCCCUCCAGACUGGUUCUCUCAAAAACAUUGUGCUUCCCAGUACUCGGAACUUUUAGAGACCACUGAGACACCAAAACGGAAACGAGGUGAAAAGGGAGAAGUGGUGGAAACUGUUGAAGAUGUUAUUGUUCGGAAACUGACUGCUGAGCGAGUUGAAGAACUAAAGAAAGUGAUAAAGGAAACCCAGGAGAGAUAUAGACGGCUAAAGAGAGAUGCAGAACUAAUUCAAGCUGGACACAUGGACAGCAGACUGGAUGAGCUUUGCAAUGACAUUGCAAUGUGGGUUAUAUUAUAUUGUUCUUGUGUGCUUCUUUCUUUUUACCCUCUUUUCCCCUCAAGUAAUCUGGCUUAUUUCCUCCAACUGCCAUCCCUUUAGACUUG
RNAcentral lists this small RNA (557 nucleotides) under Pongo abelii (Sumatran orangutan). RNAcentral describes it as "retained intron". The record is from RNAcentral. Lineage: Eukaryota; Metazoa; Chordata; Mammalia; Primates; Hominidae.